GGAGAGAGUGCCUCGCAAGAGGAGCCUGGUGACAGGUGCUGCAUGGCUGUCGUCAGCUCGUGUCGUGAGAUGUUGGUUAAGUCCCGCAACGAGCGCAACCCCUAUCUUAGUUGCCAUCAUUGGAGUUGGGCACUCUAAAGAGACUGCCGGUGUCAAACCGGAGGAAGGUGGGGGAUGACGUCAAGUCCUCAUGGCCUUUAUGACCAGGGCUACACACGUACUACAAUGGCCGGUACAAAGGGCAGCGACACAGCGAUGUGAAGCCAAAUCCCGAAAAGACCGGUCUCAGUCCGGAUUGGAGUCUGCAACUCGACUCCAUGAAGUUGGAAUCGCUAGUAAUCGCGGAUCAGCACGCCGCGGUGAAUACGUUCCCGGGCCUU
RNAcentral lists this ribosomal RNA (380 nucleotides) under uncultured Desulfocapsa sp. Its description in RNAcentral is "bacterial SSU rRNA". It matches the Rfam family "Bacterial small subunit ribosomal RNA", at positions 1005 to 1382 of the family's 1533-position model. Lineage: Bacteria; Pseudomonadati; Thermodesulfobacteriota; Desulfobulbia; Desulfobulbales; Desulfocapsaceae. The record is from RNAcentral.